UUUUGGAUAGCUCAGUUGGUAGAGCAGGAGACUCUUAAUCUCAGGGUUGUGGGUUUGAUUCCCACAUUGGGCUAAAAG
Molecule: non-coding RNA, 78 nt
Organism: Podarcis lilfordi (Lilford's wall lizard)
Lineage: Eukaryota; Metazoa; Chordata; Lepidosauria; Squamata; Lacertidae
Source: the annotation of a GenBank genome assembly